CCAAAACUUGGUCUCCCCAUGUCACUCUCUCUCCCAAAUUCCAGCUGAGUCUCCAUCUGGAGCGCGGAACCCACCAUGCUUGCUAAUUAUGCCUGGGCUUAUAAUAUCCGACCGGGGUAGGCCUCAGUGUCUCCCCUCCUUCGGGAGAACGGAAGGACGCCUGCGGCCUACGAGACCCCAGUUCGAUUCCUGGGUCAGGAAGACGUGCACAUAGGGAGAAUGCCAUGUGAAGAUGAAGACAGAGAUCGGGGUGAUGCUUUACAAGCCAAGGAACGCCAAAGAUUAUCAACCAACCACCAGAACCAAGAAGAGAGGCCUGGAAUGUAUUCUCCCUGACAGGCUCAGAAGGAACCAUCCCUGCUGACAUCCUGAUCUCAGACUUUCAGCCUCCAGAACCAUAAGACAAUAAAUUUCUGCGGCUGAAGCCACUCAGAU
This is a long non-coding RNA of Bubalus bubalis (water buffalo), 435 nucleotides long. RefSeq lists it as uncharacterized. The record is from RefSeq and is a predicted model, not a curated record. NCBI's taxonomy places the organism in Eukaryota, Metazoa, Chordata, Mammalia, Artiodactyla, Bovidae. The transcript has 2 exons.